Molecule: long non-coding RNA, 290 nt
Organism: Nylanderia fulva
Lineage: Eukaryota; Metazoa; Arthropoda; Insecta; Hymenoptera; Formicidae
Source: RefSeq, a predicted model, not a curated record
UUCAGUCAUAUUAUAGUACACACUACACGCAUAAUUUACGUUGCAAAAUUAAUAAUUAUUAUUAAUAGUAGAAACAAAAGAAAUUAUAUACAUAGUUUCUUCUAUCCUGCUAUCCUCGUUCUUUUGCUAUAAUAAAAUGUGGACAAUUUUAGACUUUUAUAAUUUCAAGAUAUUCUGGAUUUUUACUUUCGUCGAGUUAUGCAUUGUGGCAUUCCUGAUAUUUAUGCAUAAUACGGAUAUGACACAAUUAAAAAAGCGCCUUUUAACCAGAAAGGUAUUAAAAAAUCAGU